UACGAAGGGGGCUAGCGUUGCUCGGAAUCACUGGGCGUAAAGCGCACGUAGGCGGAUUUCUAAGUCAGGGGUGAAAUCCUGGAGCUCAACUCCAGAACUGCCUUUGAUACUGGGAAUCUCGAGUCCGGGAGAGGUGAGUGGAACUGCGAGUGUAGAGGUGAAAUUCGUAGAUAUUCGGAGGAACACCAGUGGCGAAGGCGGCUAUCUGGCCCGUAAUUGACGCUGAGGCGCGAAAGCGUGGGGAGCAAACAGG
RNAcentral lists this ribosomal RNA (253 nucleotides) under uncultured bacterium. RNAcentral describes it as "partial 16S ribosomal RNA". It matches the Rfam family "Bacterial small subunit ribosomal RNA", at positions 524 to 776 of the family's 1533-position model. The record is from RNAcentral.